This 251-nucleotide ribosomal RNA is filed under the name uncultured prokaryote. RNAcentral's name for it is "partial 16S rRNA". It matches the Rfam family "Bacterial small subunit ribosomal RNA", at positions 525 to 775 of the family's 1533-position model. The record is from RNAcentral.
ACAGAGGUCCCAAGCGUUGUUCGGAUUUACUGGGCGUAAAGGGUGCGUAGGCGGUCGGGUAAGUCUGGUGUGAAAUUUCAAAGCUCAACUCUGAAACUGCAUUGGAUACUAUUCGGCUCGAGGUUGGGAAGGGAGACUGGAAUUCUCGGUGUAGCAGUGAAAUGCGUAGAUAUCGAGAGGAACACCAGUGGCGAAGGCGAGUCUCUGGACCAAUCCUGACGCUGAGGCACGAAAGCCAGGGGAGCAAACGG